Molecule: long non-coding RNA, 1340 nt
Filed under: Malus domestica (apple)
Lineage: Eukaryota; Viridiplantae; Streptophyta; Magnoliopsida; Rosales; Rosaceae
Description: long non-coding RNA (MDOM_LNC011744)
Source: RNAcentral
UUCGAUUUUGGAGCAAGCAAUCCUGUUGGGAGUGUUGUCUCGAAUGUGAGUAAAGGUUGGGCAUGUUUGCUAGUCUACCUUGCCCCGAAGCACAAAGGUUGACACACAGGGACUUUCCAAUUAUCUAGCAAUGGUACUGUUCCUUUACCCUCUCUUCGCUUUUGAGAAAGUAGUCAUGUUGGGGGUCUGGCUCUCGAGAUUCGGAGGACGGUGCCUCUUCGAUUUUGGAGCAAGCAAUCUUGUUGGGAGUGUUUUCUCGAAUGUGAGUAAAGGUUGGGCAUGUUUGCUAGUCUACCUUGCCACGAAGCACAGAGGUUGACACACAGGAACUUUCCAAUUAUCGAGCAAUGAUACUGUUCCUUUACCCUUGUGGGUAAUAAUAUGGUAGCUAGACCUUCAAAAUUUAUGUGUCUAAACUUUGUUAGUUCUGUUUCUUUGCUAUUCUUUUACCUUUCUUGGUCAGAGCGAUGUAGUGGGAGCUGCAAGCUUCACGUGCUCAACUUUGGCAGAGAACUUUGGCAAAGUUAUCUGUGGUACCCAUGAGCUAUUGUUGCGUGUGGGAAGUGGGUGAUUGAACAAUAAGAUUCAUGUGCUUUCUACUUCACCAGAAGUCUUCGACAGAAUGCCCAUAAUUUCUGGAAAGCUGAGUGUGCGUGUGACAGGUGCUGACAAGGCUAGAAUAGUAGGUGCCUCUUCGAUUUCUGAGAUCGGCCCUCGUGGUCUCUGAGCAGCCCAGCUUUCGAGAAAGAGAGCGCCUCUUCGAUUGAUUCGGAGAACGAUGCCUCAUCGAUUUUUGAGAAAGCAAUCAUGCUGAGGGUCUGGCUCUCGAAGAUUCGGGGAGCAGUGUCUCUUCGAUUUUUGAGAAAGUAAUCAUGUUGGGAGUCUGACUCUCGAGAUUCGGAGGGCGGUGCCUCUUCGAUUUUGGAGCAAGCAAUCUUGUUGGGAGUGUUUUCUCGAAUGUGAGUAAAGGUUGGGCAUGUUUGCUAGUCUACCUUGCCACGAAGCACAGAGGUUGACACACAGGGACUUUCCAAUUAUCCAGCAAUGGUACUGUUCCUUUACCCUUUCUUCGAUUUUUAAGAAAGUAGUCAUGUUGGGAGUCUGGCUCUCGAGAUUCGGAGGACGGUGCCUCUUCGAUUUUGGAGCAAGCAAUCUUAUUGGGAGUGUUUUCUCGAAUGUGAGUAAAGGUUGGGCAUGUUUGCUAGUCUACCUUGCCACGAAGCACAGAGGUUGACACACAGGGACUUUCCAAUUAUCCAGCAGUGGUACUGUUCCUUUACCCUUGUGGGUAAUAAUAUGGUAGCUAGACCUUCAAAAAUUUUAUGGGUCUAAACUUUGUU